This 27-nucleotide non-coding RNA is filed under the name Rattus norvegicus (Norway rat). The record is from RNAcentral. Lineage: Eukaryota; Metazoa; Chordata; Mammalia; Rodentia; Muridae.
UGGGACACUGGUGUGCACAGCUGAGGC